GUAUAAUUGAAUGGCAUCAUUUGAUUAUUAAAGUUCCAACGGUAUAAGAUGAGCAUGCGUCCCAUUAGCUAGUUGGUGUGGUAACGGCACACCAAGGCGACGAUGGUAGGGGUCCUGAGAGGGAGAUCCCCCACACUGGUACUGAGACACGGACCAGACUCCUACGGGAGGCAGCAGUGAGGAAUAUUGGUCAAUGGGCGCAAGCCUGAACCAGCCAUGCCGCGUGCAGGAUGACGGUCCUAUGGAUUGUAAACUGCUUUUGUACAGGAAGAAACACUCCCUCGUGAGGGAGCUUGACGGUACUGUAAGAAUAAGGAUCGGCUAACUCCGUG
Molecule: ribosomal RNA, 332 nt
Filed under: uncultured bacterium
Lineage: Bacteria
Description: bacterial SSU rRNA
Rfam family: Bacterial small subunit ribosomal RNA
Source: RNAcentral